RNAcentral lists this long non-coding RNA (2328 nucleotides) under Astyanax mexicanus (Mexican tetra). RNAcentral's name for it is "lncRNA (ENSAMXG00005020872.1)". Lineage: Eukaryota; Metazoa; Chordata; Actinopteri; Characiformes; Acestrorhamphidae. The record is from RNAcentral.
AAGUAUUGCAUUCUACAAGACACUUACAGAACAUAAGAAACAUAGGACCACAGUCAGUGCUGAACAAAGCUCCAGAAAGGAUAAUGGCAGGUUCAGUGUGUAGGCUUUAUCAUGCAGUUUUUGAAGCAUUUAGUUGCAGCAUAUCUUGUCUACAAACGGUUUAAUUAACUGUUUGUGUUACAACACAAAGGAGGUCAAUGCCAGAUCAGCAGUCCCCUGGACCUACAGUUCAGACAGAAAUUACAAGGUUUAGAUAUAUUAUUUGUAUUUUUUUUUUUUUAUCUUCCCAGGGCUUUUCCAAAGCUUAAGACAAUACAUGGAGGCUGAUUUCUUCACAAAGCAUCCGGUAUUUUGGGAACAGGUAAUUGAAUGAACACUGAUGCAAAUCAAACAAAUGAGACGUGGCCCUAAGGAAACACCAAUGUGGACAGUUUUGCUCCAACAGCUAGACGCAGUGCUCCUGCUUUUCCCAAAAAGAAUCAAUGGAAUUUACUCAAGAGUUGCUGGUCUGCGGAGAAGAAUUCUGAUUCUGAAUAUCCACUUGCUCAAGUGUGCUACACUUCUGGAUUCCGCUGACAGUUUAUUGAAUCUGGUAAUCUCUGGGGAGAAAAAAAAAACUUUAUUUUUACUUUAAUUUUCUAAGUAUAAUGUCUGUGAUUUAAAAUGUUCCUUUUACAGCAUCGACUGCUGAGGUCCAAAGCCUGCUGAAGGUCUGGACAGGGUGAGUUCCUAUAUUAUUGGACACUUUGUGCAUGUUGUAGUUACGGAAUGCUCAAUAUCUCCCAUUCUCUGUCACAGCAUUUGAGGUGGUCUUGAUUGGAACAUGGCAGACAGUUGAAUGAGUCCUCUUGCCUGUAGGACGGAAAGCAUCCCCCACAUUGCGGACCAGCCCAUCUGAAGUGUAGGUAGUAUACAGUCAGAAAAGGAGAUGGAGAAGACCAUCCCUUUGGCAACUUUCAACAGGCCUGGAACUCAACGCAAGACAGUUACCUGGGAUGUACAUGGCUGCUCCACUUCACAGGGAACAACUACAGCACCACUUUGUGACCAGACAAGUUGCUGUGGGACACAUCCAAACCUGCUGCUCUCCUGAUCGUGGGCAGGGAAUGGGAAUGGGCAGGAAAGCAGGAAGGCACACUACUACAUGGCAUAAUCCUGCAGUACACUUUUUUUUCACUGUGUAAAAAUGAAUGAAGAUGCUUCAUGUACAAAUCUGUUUUAAACAUUUGCAUUUUAAACUGUGUAUGUUUAUUUUUACUUAUUUUUUGACAAACAUUAGUUUCAAAGUGAUAAAAAAAAUAAUAGUGUCAAAACACAUACCUUAAUGAUUAUGCCAAAAAUAGCAUGACGCAGCCACAUCAGAGAAAGCUUUGACAAGGCAGUUGGUUGUACUGCUGACCUAAGAACCUCAAGACUCCAGGGAUCAAGGGGGCAUUCCAAGUGCAAGCAGUGUGGUUCUUGGACGGUCAAUCUAGAAUGUUUCAAGUCAAUGGCAUCAAUCUGUAUUCCCUAAGUGUACAGAGUUCAGUAAUAGUGUUAAUUGUGUACACUUGUAAUCACAAAGACAAUCAAACAAUGUUACUGAUCACUUCUGAGAUUUCUGGUUUGUUGACAAUUCUGCAUGGGACUGAAGUACUACAGCAGAUUUAGGUUAAUGUUUUGUUCAUUUUGAAUUGGAUUACUAUCCCAGUCGUAUGCAAACCUUGGCAGGUCAUCUUUCAGUCAUGGCAGGAAUGUAUAGUGAACACAGAUGUCUAAUGUUGAGAAGUCAUCCUCUUUCAAAGUGUGAAGAACAUUGUAGUACGGUCAUCUACACAUCAUGCCACAGACAUUCUAUUUUGCAGGAAAGAAAAUGAUUAACAGAUGUAUUACUUAACAGUGCACCAUACAUCAUUUACCAGAAGUUUACUACAGGCAUAAGUUUGCUUUUCUUGAUAAUUACAUUACUUUAGACUGUUCUUAAACUGCAUUCAUUAGAAUUAUCAUUGCAGAAAUUAAGACAGUAAUAUGACCCAGUGCCAUAAAAUGUUCAUCAGCUCAAAUUCUGAUUGUGGACACCUGACUGAUAUAAAGCUUCUACACACAGUUCCAAAUAUAGUGAACACUUCUGGAGAAAUUUCCAUAUUCUUCUCACCCUGGAAGUGGGUAUAGUAACAUUUACUUAUGGUGGUGACAAAACCAUAGACCUCUGGAGUUGUGCCUUCAUUUUGUAGUUGGCACUAUGUUGUUUAUGCCCACAUGUGGCACUUCAGGUCUAACCAUAACUUUAGAUAUCAGAAAUGAAACAGGUUUAAUACAAAAAAAUCAUGUGUAGUAAAUAAAUGUUUU